RNAcentral lists this long non-coding RNA (986 nucleotides) under Fukomys damarensis (Damara mole-rat). RNAcentral describes it as "lncRNA (ENSFDAG00000022573.1)". Lineage: Eukaryota; Metazoa; Chordata; Mammalia; Rodentia; Bathyergidae. The record is from RNAcentral.
UGACUCUGCAAGAUCGGGCUCACGGCCUCUUGUACAACCACUCUCCAAACCUCUGGAUGAUUGUUAGUCGCAGGGUGUGGUCCCUGAAUGUUUAACCAGCCUGAAAUGUUCCACUGUACAAAAGUCAGGUCUGCAGGAGCUCGUGGUGUGCCUGACUGGCCUGCUCAACUCCGCUGCAUUUCUGUCGGCUACAGGACAUUCUCACUGCAUGGCAAAAGAUUCCCGAACCAUGUCCCUGGGGGAGCCAGUGGCGAGGGCUGGUCCCUGUGUGGCUAACUCCUCCCCCAAGUUUGUGACAUGCAGAAAGAUGGGUGUAUGCAUGCAGUGGAGAGAAGGAACCCUCUGCUUGAAUAAUUGAGCCUCCAGAGUCUCCUGAGGGAGUCCAGGAUGACAGGGAACUCCCUUUGUGUUAGUCGGCAGCUGAAAGGUGCACUGCAAGGAGCACAAAGCCAGGUGGUUCCUACAAUGCGUCGAACGGGACCUUCUCACUGCAUGGCAAGAGAUUCCAUAACCAUGUCCCUGGAGGAGCCAGCGGUGAGGGCUGGUCGCCGUGAAGCUAACUACUCCCCCAAGUUUGUGACAUGCAGUAAGGAUCUCUGUGGCCCACGGGAUUCCAAAGCGUGGCCAUGCAGGUUCAAGGCCUGGCUCUCCACUGCAUUUGGUUUUGCUACUUGCCAUCCAUGGAAGCUCGGGCUGACUGGACGACUAGGCCCUGCUCAGUUGUCUACACAUUGGAGUCUGAAGGGAACACAGGCUGACUGACUGAUGGGUGUAUGCAUGCAUUGGAGAGAAGGAGCCCUCUGCCUGAAUAAUUGAGCCUCCAGAGUCUCCUGAGGGAAUCCGGGAUGACAGGGAACUCCCUUCGUGUUAGUCGGCAGCUGAAAGGCACACUACAAGGAGCACAAAGCCAGGUGGUUCUCACAAUGCAUCGAACGGGUAUGUACUACAUGUUUCCCUGCAUGCCAGCCAUACGAGUGCAGGUCGCU